UCUCAAUAACAAUACUCCUUCAUCAACUGAUAACAACAGUGUGCAAUCCUAAAAGAUUGCUCAAAACUCAUAAAUUUUAUCCAACACCAAGAAUAACAGACUUCACUCCAACCAAUCUUGAUUCAUAGAAUUUCUGUAAUCACAGACUUCCUCUGUCGAAACACACAUACAACUCUCAAUAAACAACAAUCAUAAUCUUCCAUCUAUAAUCAAUCUUCCAAUAACUUCUCAUAUAAUUCAAUCACAUAAUAUUCCAAUUACAUAAUCAAUAACUCAUAAAUCAAUCUUUGAUUUAUUCCAC
Molecule: long non-coding RNA, 301 nt
Filed under: Physcomitrium patens
Lineage: Eukaryota; Viridiplantae; Streptophyta; Bryopsida; Funariales; Funariaceae
Description: long non-coding RNA (PPAT_LNC006102)
Source: RNAcentral